RNAcentral lists this unclassified non-coding RNA (357 nucleotides) under Hevea brasiliensis (rubber tree). Lineage: Eukaryota; Viridiplantae; Streptophyta; Magnoliopsida; Malpighiales; Euphorbiaceae. The record is from RNAcentral.
CAUGAGUACAUCCGCAGAUUCCCAUCAACAUCUAGCCUUAGCAAUCGAAAAUUUACCGCGUCAUUGUGAUCAUCUCCAAAGACAGACCACAUAGGCUUCAAAGUUUGGUCCACAAGUUGCAGAAUUCCAUCAGAGGUAAGCACAGCACUGAGGUUGGACAUAGAUGGAUUUCUGCUGGUCCAGUACAUGACAUCACUUUCCCACCUUAGCUGUAACUGGCCUGAAGCAUUCAUAUAAAGACUGUAGUAACUUGACACAGAAUUUUUGCUAGCAGCUCUAAGUGUUUUAUAAAUGGAUAAACUCUGGCCCGGAAGAAUUGUGUCAGAAGGAUUGUCAAAGCUUUGCCAAACAACUGAC